This 531-nucleotide small RNA is filed under the name Pongo abelii (Sumatran orangutan). Its description in RNAcentral is "retained intron". Lineage: Eukaryota; Metazoa; Chordata; Mammalia; Primates; Hominidae. The record is from RNAcentral.
UGUGACUCCUGUGACAUUGUCAGUAUGAGAGGAGGUAGUGUGAGGUGUGUAGCAGGCCUGCUGGUCCAGCUUGUAUCUCUCUAAUCUCAGUGGCAUCCUCUCUUCAUCCAGUGCUGCCCUGGGGCCUCCCUCCCGUCUCUGCAAGGCCUCCUUUCUCCGGGCCUUUCACCAGGCGGCCAGGGCUGUGGGGAAGCCCUACCUUCUGGCCUUGAAGACCUACGAGGCUGCCAAGGCUGGGCCCUACCAGGAGGCUCGCCGGCAGCUGUCUCUCCUCCUGGACCAGCAGGGCCUGGGGGCUUGGCCCUCAAAGCCACUGGUGGGCAAAUUCAGAAACUGAAGCCGGCCUCGGCGGGACCAAGGUCCCGGAGCCAAGCCAUACCCCUGCUGGGGGAGUGCCCUAUCUGAGGAGCGCUGUGGGGAGAACAUGGGUUGUGCAGGGUGAAACUGGGGCUGGAGGGAAGGAGGAGCCUGCUGUGGUUGGGAGGCUGCUGCUGCACGUUUGGGCUUGAAUAAAUAAGUAUUUCUGGUUCC